GUGCAUUUUACUUUGCUUGAAAUAUAGUUUUGAAAUAUACCAAAACAUUGACAGAGUGUGUUUGUCAUUCAACUGUAUAUAAACUAAAAAAAAAAAAAAUCCUGUUAAAAGUCGUGUCCAUGAAAGGGAACAUGAAUUCUUUUCAAGUCGUAAUUUCAUUAAAAAUAUAUAAAUAAUAAUAAUAAAGUGUAUGUCAUCUUUACUAUUUCAGAAACCUCAUCAGUGGGACAAUAACUCAAUUAUGAUAUGUGAGUUUUGUGGAAACGUAAAGUGUGUGGAAGAAGCAUCACAGAAGUAUCCAGUAUGUUUAAGUAACUGAAACAUUCUAAGAUUAAACUUGGACAUUUUGAGGAGAGAUUCAGUCAACCUGUUCACAGUAAAUUAAAUAAAAGCAGAAUUAAUGCGGAUAACGACUGUGCCACUUCUGUCAACGUUCAUAGCAGCUGGACAGAUACACUGUUGAUCAAAUUAAAGUUUUCAGCAGCAAAGGAGCUUCUGGACAAAAGAUAUCACACACAUUGCAGUUGCAGACAAGUGCGAAGAUAUACACUUCAAAUGAGACUGUGUCAUAAAGAGUCUGUGUGUGUAUCUCAAUGGGGACAUUACAACACUUCCAGUUCUCCAGAAUUCUUCCAGAAUUCCAGGACUGCAAUCCUGAAGGAACUGAGGGAGGAAUUUCUGAGACCACUCUGGGCCCUUUUGUGACCCUUAAAGAAAGCUCUAAGGAUGAGCCAGUGGAUGUUG
Long non-coding RNA from Megalobrama amblycephala (Wuchang bream), 744 nucleotides. RefSeq lists it as uncharacterized. The transcript has 5 exons. Lineage: Eukaryota; Metazoa; Chordata; Actinopteri; Cypriniformes; Xenocyprididae. The record is from RefSeq and is a predicted model, not a curated record.